Molecule: ribosomal RNA, 547 nt
Filed under: Phyllomedusa burmeisteri (common walking leaf frog)
Lineage: Eukaryota; Metazoa; Chordata; Amphibia; Anura; Hylidae
Description: partial 16S ribosomal RNA
Rfam family: Bacterial large subunit ribosomal RNA
Source: RNAcentral
GACUCUGUUUAACGGCCGCGGUAUCCUAACCGUGCAAAGGUAGCGUAAUCACUUGUUCUUUAAAUGAGGACUAGUAUGAAUGGCAUCACGAGGGUUACACUGUCUCCUUUUCUAAAUCAGUGAAACUAAUCUCCCCGUGAAGAAGCGGGGGUAAAUCUAUAAGACGAGAAGACCCUAUGGAGCUUUAAACUUCUCAACAAUUAUCUUCAUGUUUGUAAAUCUCCAGAGCAGCAAAACCAACCUAGAUAAUAUGUCUGUAAGUUUUCGGUUGGGGUGACCGCGGAGCAAAACAUAGCCCCCGCAAUGAAUUAGAACCCUAUUUCUAAACAAAGAGUUACAACUCUCAGUAUCAAAAAAUUGACAUAAUUGACCCAACACUUUGAUCAAUGAACCAAGUUACCCUAGGGAUAACAGCGCAAUCCAUCUCAAGAGCUCUUAUCGACAGAUGGGUUUACGACCUCGAUGUUGGAUCAGGGUGUCCCAGUGGUGCAGCCGCUACUAAAGGUUCGUUUGUUCAACGAUUAAAACCCUACGUGAUCUGAGUUCA